GACGUAGGUGGCGAACGUUAUCCGGAAUCAUUGGGCGUAAAGGAUGCGUAGAUGGCAUGAUAAGUUAUUAGUGGGAAAUCGAGGCUCAACCUCGUGGAAGCUAGUAAUACUGUUUUGCUUGAGUACAGAAGAGGUUAACGGAACUCCAUGUGGAGCGGUAAAAUGCAUAGAUAUAUGGAAGAACACCAAUAACGGCGAAGGCAGUUAACUAUUCUGUUACUGACAUUGAGGCACGAAGGCGUGGGGAGCAAAACGG
This 256-nucleotide ribosomal RNA is filed under the name uncultured bacterium. RNAcentral's name for it is "partial 16S ribosomal RNA". It matches the Rfam family "Bacterial small subunit ribosomal RNA", at positions 524 to 776 of the family's 1533-position model. The record is from RNAcentral.